GUUGUGUUCAUUUUGUAGUAAAGUACCCCAUGUUCAUCUUUUGUAUAUGAUGAUUAGUGAUGUAAAGAAAAGAAUGUAAUGUGCAUUUUGAGGUAAAUGCGAUGUACGAAGGAAAUGAUGCAAUGGUGUAAUGAAAUGCGAGAAUCCUAAAUGUAAGAAAUGGAUGCAAUGUACGUGAUCUAAAAUGAAUCAUAGUACUUGUGAAUGUUUAGUUUUCCUUUCUUUCACUAAUGGCUAUUGCUUACCCUCGUGUAAGCCGUUUGUGUAUGUUUCCGCUAGUGCAUUUCUUG
This 290-nucleotide long non-coding RNA is filed under the name Ananas comosus (pineapple). Its description in RNAcentral is "long non-coding RNA (ACOM_LNC038846)". The record is from RNAcentral. Lineage: Eukaryota; Viridiplantae; Streptophyta; Magnoliopsida; Poales; Bromeliaceae.